RNAcentral lists this ribosomal RNA (460 nucleotides) under uncultured bacterium. Its description in RNAcentral is "partial 16S ribosomal RNA". It matches the Rfam family "Bacterial small subunit ribosomal RNA", at positions 338 to 795 of the family's 1533-position model. The record is from RNAcentral.
CCUACGGGAGGCAGCAGUGAGGAAUAUUGGUCAAUGGACGAGAGUCUGAACCAGCCAAGUAGCGUGAAGGAUGACUGCCCUAUGGGUUGUAAACUUCUUUUAUAAAGGAAUAAAACGAGGCACGUGUGCCUUUUUGCAUGUACUUUAUGAAUAAGGAUCGGCUAACUCCGUGCCAGCAGCCGCGGUAAUACGGAGGAUCCGAGCGUUAUCCGGAUUUAUUGGGUUUAAAGGGAGCGUAGAUGGGUUGUUAAGUCAGUUGUGAAAGUUUGCGGCUCAACCGUAAAAUUGCAAUUGAUACUGGCAGUCUUGAGUACAGUUGAGGUAGGCGGAAUUCGUGGUGUAGCGGUGAAAUGCAUAGAUAUCACGAGGAACCCCGAUUGCGAAGGCAGCCUGCCGGGGUGCGACUGACGCUGAGGCUCGAAGGUGCGGGUAUCAAACAGGAUUAGAUACCCGGGUAGUC